RNAcentral lists this ribosomal RNA (827 nucleotides) under uncultured bacterium. Its description in RNAcentral is "bacterial SSU rRNA". It matches the Rfam family "Bacterial small subunit ribosomal RNA", at positions 66 to 905 of the family's 1533-position model. The record is from RNAcentral.
GUUAGAACUCUUCGGAGGGAAGGGGAAGUGACUGAGCGGCGGACGGGUGAGUAACGGGUGGGCAACCUGCCUUACACAGGGGGAUAACAAUUAGAAAUGAUUGCUAAUACCGCAUAAGACCACAGUAUUGCAUGAUACAGUGGUAAAAACUGAGGUGGUGUAAGAUGGGCCCGCGUCUGAUUAGGUAGUUGGUGGGGUAGAAGCCUACCAAGCCGACGAUCAGUAGCCGACCUGAGAGGGCGACCGGCCACAUUGGGACUGAGACACGGCCCAAACUCCUACGGGAGGCAGCAGUGGGGAAUAUUGCACAAUGGGGGAAACCCUGAUGCAGCGACGCCGCGUGAGUGAGGAAGUAUUUCGGUAUGUAAAGCUCUAUCAGCAGGGAAGAAAAUGACGGUACCUGACUAAGAAGCCCCGGCUAACUACGUGCCAGCAGCCGCGGUAAUACGUAGGGGGCAAGCGUUAUCCGGAUUUACUGGGUGUAAAGGGAGCGUAGACGGAGCAGCAAGUCUGAUGUGAAAAUCCGGGGCCCAACCCCGGAACUGCAUUGGAAACUGUUGAUCUAGAGUGUCGGAGAGGUAAGUGGAAUUCCUAGUGUAGCGGUGAAAUGCGUAGAUAUUAGGAGGAACACCAGUGGCGAAGGCGGCUUACUGGACGAUGACUGACGUUGAGGCUCGAAAGCGUGGGGAGCAAACAGGAUUAGAUACCCUGGUAGUCCACGCCGUAAACGAUGACUACUAGGUGUCGGGAGGCAAAGCCUUUCGGUGCCGCAGCCAACGCAAUAAGUAGUCCACCUGGGGAGUACGUUCGCAAGAAUGAAACUCAAA